GUGAAUACAUAUCAUAUCAGAAGGCACACCCGGAGAACUGAAACAUCUUAGUACCCGGAGGAAGAUAAAGAAAAUUCGAUUCCCUUAGUAGCGGCGAGCGAAACGGGAAGAGCCCAAACCUACAAGCUUGCUUGUUGGGGUUGUAGGACACUCUAUACGGAGUUACAAUGGACGACAUUAGACGAAUCAUCUGGAAAGAUGAAUCAAAGAAGGUAAUAAUCCUGUAGUCGAAAAUGUUG
RNAcentral lists this ribosomal RNA (239 nucleotides) under Staphylococcus aureus. RNAcentral describes it as "partial 23S ribosomal RNA". It matches the Rfam family "Bacterial large subunit ribosomal RNA", at positions 158 to 390 of the family's 2925-position model. Lineage: Bacteria; Bacillati; Bacillota; Bacilli; Caryophanales; Staphylococcaceae. The record is from RNAcentral.